RNAcentral lists this ribosomal RNA (373 nucleotides) under uncultured Stichotrichia. Its description in RNAcentral is "partial Eukaryotic large subunit ribosomal RNA". It matches the Rfam family "Eukaryotic large subunit ribosomal RNA", at positions 2972 to 3390 of the family's 3401-position model. Lineage: Eukaryota; Ciliophora; Spirotrichea. The record is from RNAcentral.
CGUGAGACAGGUUAGUUUUACCCUACUGAUGAGGUUGUUGCCACGACAGUAAUCCGAUUUAGUACGAGAGGAACCGUCGGUUCAGUUAAUUCGUUCAUGCGCUUGCCUGAAAAGGCAGUGGCGCGAAGCGACCAACUGUAGGAUUAUGACUGAACGCCUCUAAGUCAGAAUCCAUGCUGGGAAUGUGGCGAUAUUCACCUUGCCUGAUGUGCACCUGCGCAACAAUAGGUCUCCGGACCCUAUGCCAUACCACAAACACAAUUUCAAAUAUCGGCGAGUUACACUCCUUGCAGACUACUUGGAUCUCUCACACGGUAUUGUAAGCAUGAGAGUAGGCUUUGCCCUACGAUCUGCUGAGAUUAAGCCGUUGUGC